Molecule: small RNA, 3940 nt
Filed under: Pan troglodytes (chimpanzee)
Lineage: Eukaryota; Metazoa; Chordata; Mammalia; Primates; Hominidae
Description: retained intron
Source: RNAcentral
UUUUCAUGAAUUAAGUAAUUGCCACCUAAAAAAUAACAGAAGAGAGUAUGAAAACAAAAAAAAAUCCAUGUCUUUUAAAAUGUCUUUUACCAUGUUGCUUCUUGGCAAGUAUCUUAUAAAUAUUCCAAGUCAGAUGUUAAAAUUUUUUAAAGCAGCUUUAUAUUUCCAUAGUGUAAUAUUAGUUUGGGAUUUAUUUCAGGGGUUUAAUGUCUGUCUUUACUUGUCUAGAAGUAGCUUCACUGGCUCCUAACUACUGCCCUGGGGCAGAUUCAGAUGAAAUGUGGUAUGUAGCCACACCCAAUACUGUUGGCAUACUUUCAUUGAAUCUAUUCCCAUGGAAGAAACCCAGUUGCAAUUUCAGUAUUAUUUCAUCAAAGAGGCCAGGCCAGAGCUAUCAUAACUGCUUUCAUAUCGUGUUUCCUUUUUAUUAUAUCAUGUUUUAUAUCAUAUGUUUGCUUUCUACAUACUUGUUCCUCAAUUGCUUGUGCUUAUAUAAAUUUAUAAUGCUAUUGAAUAAACAAAACAAUAAAUAGUGAUGGGAUCAUUUUAUACGGAUGUAAUAUUUUCUGAAGAGCCAAACAAAUUGAAUAAGUAACUUUACUCCAAAUUUUAAUGAGCUAUUAAAUUUUAUUUAAAUCACUUUUCCUUUCUACCCAAAAGUAAUCAUCUUAAGUGUUUUUCCAGUGUCUGAGAACAUUAGUGGGACAUACAGGUGGAGUAUGGUCAUCACAAAUGAGAGACAACAUCAUCAUUAGUGGAUCUACAGAUCGGACACUCAAAGUGUGGAAUGCAGAGACUGGAGAAUGUAUACACACCUUAUAUGGGCAUACUUCCACUGUGCGUUGUAUGCAUCUUCAUGAAAAAAGAGUUGUUAGCGGUUCUCGAGAUGCCACUCUUAGGGUUUGGGAUAUUGAGACAGGCCAGUGUUUACAUGUUUUGAUGGGUCAUGUUGCAGCAGUCCGCUGUGUUCAAUAUGAUGGCAGGAGGGUUGUUAGUGGAGCAUAUGAUUUUAUGGUAAAGGUGUGGGAUCCAGAGACUGAAACCUGUCUACACACGUUGCAGGGGCAUACUAAUAGAGUCUAUUCAUUACAGGUAAGAUCUCUUAUCUCUCCCUUAAAUGCUCUCCUGAUGAAUCAUAAGGUUGUUUUACUCAGAUAAUCACUGUCAAAUUGCUGAUCCAGUACAGUCCAAAAAAGAUUAAUCAGAUUAUUCUGCUGUUUUUAUAUACGUUAAAAUUGGCAUGAAGAAAGUGUAAAUUUCAAAAUUAUUUAAAUGCUUUCAAUUUUCUGUGAUCUAUUUCUCCUCUAAAUACAAAUAUUUGUUUUGCAACCUGACACUUUGGGUCUCUAAGUUUUGCUAUGUUAAUUAAUGGUUAAAUAGUCUCAUAGGAGAGUAACCUGGAUUUUAAGAAACUCCUUUGCAGAAGAUUAAUAUGGCCAAAAGCUGCCCCUUUGCUUUGAUAGCUGAAAGUUGAUGGACCAUGUAAUUGUGAUUCCAUCCCCAUUCAAAGUGGAAAUAGAUCCUUUCUGCAUAAAGCACUCUACUGUCCCAGGCCCACUGAUUUGUAGUCAUAAAGAAGUAAAGUUGACUAAACCGAUUUCUUUUUUUUGGUUUAUAUUUCAAGCCCAUAUCCUUGAAAACAUUGCCAUAUUUUGAGAUCAUUAACUAGAUGAAUAGGAAGUUUAGAAUAUGAAUCUUGUUUUAUUUCCAGAAAGGCAACAUUUUUAAUGUAAAAAUAUUUCCUAUAGCUUAUAUAGUUUAUUUACCAGUUAUUGCCCAUUAAUGUUCAGCAAAUUAGUACAUAAUCUUAUGUACUAAUUUUGGCACAUUUCCUAAUUAGCAUUAGGUUCUUAUAAAUGAAAUUUUAUUUUACACACAGUUUUUAAUGGAACUUACUUUUGAACAUCACGAAAGUUAUCUCUAGCCCUUUUCAUGCCUUAGGUGCUGAUAAGCAUUCCGUUUAUCAUAAGCUAUGUCAUUAGUCUCAGCUUCCUAGUGGGAAGUAAAACUCAUAGCAAUUCUCUCAGUCAUCCAUGAUAUAUAGCUAGGUGGGGCCAGAUGAUUUGAAAAUUAACAUAUUGUUCAUUUUAGGUGCUUUGGUUUCAUUUUAAGUUGUUUCUGCAUCUAGUUUGAAGCUGCUUGGCAUAAAGAUGAGCCUUUCUGAUAGAAGUGUGUGAGAACAUACAUUGUAGAGUUGCUUGAUGGCAUGCAGUUUAUCCUCAUUGCCACUUUAUCUUAGUACCUCAUUUUGUUCCUGGCAUUACCUGUUUCCCAUCCUCUUCCCCCUUUCCUACUAGGAUUAAGGUCAGUAAUUGAUAGGAAGAGUAUCCAUACUUCUAUUCUAAUAAACUGUGUCUUUUGUAGUUUGAUGGUAUCCAUGUGGUGAGUGGAUCUCUUGAUACAUCAAUCCGUGUUUGGGAUGUGGAGACAGGGAAUUGCAUUCACACGUUAACAGGGCACCAGUCGUUAACAAGUGGAAUGGAACUCAAAGACAAUAUUCUUGUCUCUGGGAAUGCAGAUUCUACAGUUAAAAUCUGGGAUAUCAAAACAGGACAGUGUUUACAAACAUUGCAAGGUAAGUAUUACUCACCUUUCGUUUUGUUCAUUAAAAAUGAGAUCAUUAUUCAAGAGAAAUAUGGAGCCUUAGCAUCACAAAAAGAGUCAAUCUCAUACAGAAUGGUUACUUCAGAAAAGUUUAUGAAUAUUUUCACCCUAACUUACAGAACUAGUCUACUCUUGAGGAAAUGUUUUAAACUGUGUUUUUAAUAUGUAAUAUAAAAUUGUUUAAUCACUUCCUGCAUGUUCAAUUGACUCUACUUAACCUUUAAGAACAGUGAGAAGAAAGAUCUUGGGUAUAUCAUAGAAGCAACGUACUCAUUAUAUUUUUUGAUUGACCAUUGCAUUUUGAAUUUGUAGUCCAAUUUUAAAGGGCUACCUUAUUGAAAAAAACAACAGCAUCCUUGAUAGAAAAUUUAUUUGGCCUCCACUUAAUCACGUGCUUAACUGGAAUGGAGAGGAAUAAUAGUGCCUACUAAAGUAGAGAAAGAAACAAGUGAAAAUCACUAAUAUUAGAUGAGGUACAGCAGUGCCUCAUGAUUAACUUUUUCUAUUUGUUAUAGCCCUUAGAAAGUGGUUUUUUCAGUGGGGCUAUCUGAUAGGCAACAUUGCAGCUUUUUACUCAUUGGUUUUGUCUCUCCUCAGAGUUUUGGAAUAGUGACUAUUCAGCUUUGAGUGGUUCAUGGUGGUGGGGUAAUAGAUCUCUUAGUGCUCAUUUGUCCAUCAGCAGAAGGUAUGAAGUUGCACUAUCUACAUCCUCACCAAGGAAUGCUGUCGUUCACACAGCCAGAAAAUAAGAUGUUUGUCUGGUAGCUAACCAAGCUUCUUGGAAGACAGACCUCUUGAAAGUUAAUGUUUCAGUUACAAAUCACUACCAGAUUUUCUUACAUCCAUGCUGAUCCUAAAAUACUGAGGACAUGGGUUUCUAAAUAUGUAUCAUUUCAAAUGUUGCAUUUAUUGUAUGUUCUAAAGUAGAAGUCUACAAAUUAUAAUGUAACUAACCCAUAGCCAUUAUUUCUAACCAGUAAUUAAAUUAUUUUGGUUUUUGUCUAGGUCCCAACAAGCAUCAGAGUGCUGUGACCUGUUUACAGUUCAACAAGAACUUUGUAAUUACCAGCUCAGAUGAUGGAACUGUAAAACUAUGGGACUUGAAAACGGGUGAAUUUAUUCGAAACCUAGUCACAUUGGAGAGUGGGGGGAGUGGGGGAGUUGUGUGGCGGAUCAGAGCCUCAAACACAAAGCUGGUGUGUGCAGUUGGGAGUCGGAAUGGGACUGAAGAAACCAAGCUGCUGGUGCUGGACUUUGAUGUGGACAUGAAGUGAAGAGCAGAAAAGAUGAAUUUGUCCAAUUGUGUAGACGAUAUACUCCCUGCCCUUCCCCCUGC